RNAcentral lists this long non-coding RNA (614 nucleotides) under Elaeis guineensis (African oil palm). Its description in RNAcentral is "long non-coding RNA (EGUI_LNC011750)". Lineage: Eukaryota; Viridiplantae; Streptophyta; Magnoliopsida; Arecales; Arecaceae. The record is from RNAcentral.
GGGGGGGGCUAUUGUUGUGGACCACUAUCUUCACCUCAGCCGACCAUAUCCUAAGUUUUGGCCGAGGUAAAUAAAGGUCGGCCAUAGCCGAUCCGAAGGAGUUAAGAAAGCAUGGUCCCAUAUGUGGUAGGUCUUCCCAAUUCAGCAAGAUAAUCAUUUUGGGAAGAUAAUCUUUUCUGUGACUCUAAAAAGUCCAAAUAAGGAAGGAGAUCGCCACAUUUGAAUCAUGCCCUAAAUGAGAAUAAUCGUUGUCAGCAUGAUCCACAUGCAAUAAUCAACAAUCGAUUAGUCUCCUGGGCGUGCAUGACUCUAAUUUCUCUUCUAUAAAUGAAGAAGCACAGAGAUCCUCAAGAUAAGCUCUCAAUUUUUAGCUAACUUGAGUAUCGGAGGGUCUCCAUCAAAAAAUUUUCUGAUCAAAAACUUAUUUUACAGAUCCAGCUCUAGCAUCCAAGGGGCCUCUUUAUCGGCACCUCAUCACCAAUCGAGGAUGCUUCCACUUCAUCUCCAGCUGAGGACUCCUCUACCUCAUCUCCAAUCGAAAAUACUUCCAUCUCAUCUUCAGUCGAAGACAUUUCCAUCUUAUUUCCAGCUGAAGAUACUUCCACCUCAUCUCC